CGGUUUAUCCCUGUUCUCUGAUUUCUGUGUAUGACCCUGGACUGUUUACUGUUGAUUUGGAUUCUGUGCUGCCUGUUUCUUGGAUAUUGGACUGUUUAUUGACCCAGUGAUCUUCUGCCGCCCGCCUUUGAAACCCUGCCUGUGCCAGCCCUGUGACACAUCACCACCCGCUCAAUCAGGAACACACCACACCCGUGAACAAUCACCCGAGUACUAAUCAUGAUCGCCUGCACCCUACUUAUACUCACCUCAACCACUUCCUCUUCAGCUGGUAUCUGCGUUACACUUUUGCCUGGCUCAUCUCCUGCAUUGUCCCCUGUGUUACCAGGAAGUUUGUAUGAUGGCUCUACGGAUACAUUGAACUUGCCUAUUUUCCCUUGGCUGAAGAUACCUGUGUUUAACACGUCUACCUGACUGUUCUGUGUUUCACUUUGUUUCACAAUAAAACUCACUAAAACUUAAGUCUGCUUCUCCCUUCCAUGUGUGGAUGUGACCGUAUACUAGCCCCUAAAACAAUGGAUUUACCCGCAACAACAACCGGAGCAGUGUCUGAUCUGUCAAUCAAAAUCAUCCCCUCAACCUACAUUCCACUUCCAUCGAAAGUCCAGAAACUGCUGUCACUGUUAACAUUCCCUCCGUAUAUCAAUCCUUCGCAGAUGUCUUCAGCAAGGAAUGUGCCACCAAAUUAUCACCUCACCGGCCCUGGGACUGUAGUAUCGACCUGCUGCUAGACACCAAAUUACCCCAUGGAAAAGUUUAUCCUUUCUCUCGUCCCGAACAUGAUGCCAUGGAAGAGUAUAUCCACAAAGCUCUCCAGUCAGGGGUUUAUCAGGCCAUCUAUGUCACCAGCUGCCUCCAGCUUUUUCUUUGUGGCAAAGGAUGGCAGUCUCCCUCCGUGCAUAGACUAUCGAGUACUAAACAAAGCCACAAUAAAAUUUGCUUACCCACUUCCACUAGUUCCUGUGGCCCUAGAAGAGUUCCUGGAGGCUCUUGUCUUCACCAAACUUGAACUGCAAAGUGCUGAUCUGUAUCCGAGAGGGGGACGAAUGGAAGACCACCUUUAUCACUCACUCACUAUGAAUAUCAGAUGGUGUACACAUGGAACCUACCAACGUAGAUGCUGUUACCAGCUGGGAAGAGCCCAAGAUGGUGAAGAAAAUGCAAUGUUUCCUGGGGUUUGUAAAUUUUUACCAUCGUUUUAUGAAGAAUUACAAUCUUUAUUCUGCCCCUUUAACCACUUUAUUUAAAGUUGGACAACGCUCCCUAACCUGGGCACUCAAGGCUCGACAGGCUUUCCAAUUCCUGAAGCAACAGUUCUGGACUGUGAACUUGAACUUACCUAUUUUCCCUUGCCUGAAGAUUCAACCUGUGUUGAACACCUGUGUUGUUUUACAAUAAAACUCACUGAAACCUAAGUCUGCUUUUCCCUUCCAUGUGUGGAUGUGACAUGGAUACACCAUCAACUCAGUGGAUUGCCUGAGCAAAGAAUCUAUUCGUCUGUCUGGCUAUCCUGGUGCUCAGUCCUCUGUAGUGUCAACUAGAUGGCAACAGUUCAAAGAGGGAAUAUGUUGGGUGUGAGGGGUCCAGAUUGAUUUUCUUAGCCCUUUUGCUUAUUUUUGAUGAGUGCAGUUCUGGGAGACUGGAGAGGGUUAUACCAGUGAUUUGCUCGGCAGUCCAGACUACCCUCUGUAGUCUUCUGAGAUCAGAUUUGGUAGCUGA
This is a long non-coding RNA of Puntigrus tetrazona (Sumatra barb), 1719 nucleotides long. RefSeq lists it as uncharacterized. Lineage: Eukaryota; Metazoa; Chordata; Actinopteri; Cypriniformes; Cyprinidae. The record is from RefSeq and is a predicted model, not a curated record. The transcript is spliced from 3 exons.